UAGUAGCACUGCCGGCAGUACAGCU
RNAcentral lists this unclassified non-coding RNA (25 nucleotides) under Mus musculus (house mouse). RNAcentral describes it as "oocyte_clustered_small_RNA6122". The record is from RNAcentral. Lineage: Eukaryota; Metazoa; Chordata; Mammalia; Rodentia; Muridae.